UCUGCUGCACCACCGUCCUCUCUGUCAUCACAAAACAUAACAAUGAAACAACUGAUGCCACACACGAAGAUCACGCUGGAACAGUUUGUUGUCGUGGAUCAGUCUACUGUCAAUGGAUUGAAAGUUACCAUCCGUCUAUAUAUCAUUACUGUGCCUUGUGAAAAACGGACUGAUGUGCACUUGAAGUGAAGCUCAGGAGAGGCAGGAAGCUCAGAACAUCUGGGGAUGAACUCCAUGGUCGUAACAGGAAGCAGAGGAAACUCAUGGAUGUCGCUGCAGAGUUCAGUCUGGGCUCUGGGCUGCUCUGGUGGGAGUUCACUGGUGUUAGUGAUGACAAACCAAGGAGGCCUAUCCAUCUUUCCUCCUCCUUCCUUUAGUGGUCCGUGGGUGGUGGGUGCUGCCUCCAGCUUGAGGUGUCGUUUUCGUGAAGUGAGAGCGGAUCUUAUCCAGUACAUCCAUAGUGAUGACUCAGAAGUUAAGUCCAUGCUUAAAAAUAUCUUUGUGAGUAGUUUUAUGAAAGUCAACCACAUCCUGUGUUCAAUUCACAUAGCGGUGUAAAGAAAGAACUACACUCACUUUGUAAUAAAAGUGCUGCCUCUUGAAAUUAUAAAAGCUAUAUUUAGGGUUCUGUGUCUGUAACAUUGUAAUGUAAAGUGACCAGAUUUCUGAAAUGGACAUUUCCUAGUUUAAAGGUAAAAAAAAAAAAAACAUUGAAAUUUCACUGGUUGUUUUAUCUAUGAAUUAAAAAACAAUGGGGACAAUACAUUUAUCACAAUAAUUGCUAUUCAUUAUUAUUAGAAUUAAUGAUUAUAAGGAUUAUAUAUUAUAUUCAUACUGUAUAACGAUGAAGCCCUGAGCGUCUCCAAAAAUCACACAAAAAAAAAAAAAAAAAGUAGACUUUACAAAAACACAUUACAAAAAUAAAACAAAAUGUAUUUAACAUAUAUUUUCAGACAUUUUGCUUAUCACAAACUGUGAAUAUACUGUUUAAGGUAAUUGUUUUUAAUACAGCAAGUGAGGGAAAGCGCACACACACCUGUAGAAGUGCAAGAUGAAGGAAAAAAUUCAAACCUAAUUGAAAGAGAACAACGCACACUCACUUAAGCCUAUGAAAAUUAUAAAAAUUAUAAAAUGUUUUCAAAAUGUUGUGUGCUAUUGAAAAUGGAUCAAUAAAAAUGAGAAAUAAAUGCAA
Molecule: long non-coding RNA, 1192 nt
Organism: Cyprinus carpio (common carp)
Lineage: Eukaryota; Metazoa; Chordata; Actinopteri; Cypriniformes; Cyprinidae
Exons: 3
Source: RefSeq, a predicted model, not a curated record